CCUACGGGCGGCAGCAGUGGGGAAUAUUGCGCAAUGGGCGAAAGUCUGAUGCAGCGACGCCGCGUGAGCGAUGAAGGAUUUCGGUAUGUAAACCUCUGUCAGCAGGGAAGAAAGCGCCUGUCCCUAACCAACAAUCCGUUGCUAACUCCGUCCCAGGAACCGCGGGAAUACGUAGGGCGCAAGCGUUAGGCGGAUUUACUGGGUGGAAGGUGAGCGUAGACGGCUGUGCAAGCUGGAUGUGAAAGCCCUGGGCUCAACCCUGGGACAGCACUUGAUACUGAGCGGCUGGACUGCCGGAGAGGGUGGCGGAAUUCCAGGUGUAGGAGUGAAAUCCGUAGAUAUUUGGAGGAACAUCAGUGGCGAAGGCGGCCAGCUGGACGGGUAUUGACGUUGAGGCGCGAAAGCGUGGGGAGCAAACAGGAUUAGAUACCCUUGUAGUC
Molecule: ribosomal RNA, 440 nt
Filed under: uncultured bacterium
Lineage: Bacteria
Description: partial 16S ribosomal RNA
Rfam family: Bacterial small subunit ribosomal RNA
Source: RNAcentral